GUUCCUUUUUGGCUUCCAUUGCGUCCGUUAUGAUUUAUUGUUCUUUUGGCCGUCACUUUGGCAUUUAAUUCUUUCCAAACCUGGUUCAUCUUCGCCAUUUUGUCGUAAAGCGCAUGUGGAAUCUUCGAACGAAAACAAGUGUUUCCACAAUUUCAAUUGAAAAUUACCAUUAAAGUUCGCAAGGCAUGUUGGUCUAUGAUAACGAUGGGCCACGUCGAGAACAUUUGAUUUUAGAAUUGAAAACGAAAAUCGCAUGUUAGCUUUUGUUUUGUUUUUUUAUUUGCUUUUUUAUUUUUUUAAUAUAUAUUUUUAUAUCUAUGUUUUAUUUUUUCUUUUUUUUUUAUUUAUUUAUUUUCUUUUUUUCUUUUUAAUUUUGUUCGUGGAAUAUAAUUUUAUUUUAAAAUUAUCUACUCAAUUCACAAUGAUAACAAUGGCCCACCAUACUGAUGUGAUUUAUCUAGGUAUGUCGAAAGCCUUUGAUAAAGUGCAACACUCACCUAUCCUUGACAAACUACGCCAGUACAACAUUUCUGGUAAUCUGUUGAACUGGUUUACAUCCAUCUUCGUGGGCGAAGACAACGUGUUACGGUACAUCGAAAUCAAUGUUAUGCGACAUCGAAAGAACGCAAAGUAACAUCUGGAGUUCCUCAAGUUCCACCAGCCUUGGACCAAUGCUCUUUAUUUUAUAUGUGAACGAUCUGCCCAAGACUGUGAAUACAUCAAAAGUCGCUUGUUUCGCUGAUGAUACUUAGCUGAAUUCUUAACUGAAAGUGGUUUUUAACAGAUUUAUACAGUAGAAUAUUUUAGAACUAUAGCGUAUAUCAUACCUUAGGUCAAAACUCAAAAUUAGUUUUUAGAUAUUUUAGAUAUAGAAUUUCAUAUUUGUAAUUAUAAAAAUCCUGAAAAGCCCAAUUGCGAGUAUCUAAUAUUGUGUAAUAAUAGCAGUAAAACCUGCAAGACACUGCUGGUCUUCAAAACGACAUUAUCAGUCUUAACGGUUGGGCCACAGAUAACGGUUUGACAUUCAACCAAAUUGUAAGUGCCAGCGCAUCACACGGAAGAAAACACCGGUUGAGUAGCCCUACGCCCUGAAUGGAUCAGUACUUGCCGCUGCUAAUCAAGAAAAAGAUCUCGGUGUAUGGGUGUCGAAUGAGUUGUGCUGGAAGAAACAAGUGGUCAAACCAUCUAAAAUGACAUUGAAAAUUGUCUGUUGGUGACGUGAUUUUUUAAUGAGACGCCUGACAAGCUUUUCUUCCCCGGCAUGAUAAUAAUAACAUAAUUGCAUAAUAAAACAAUUAUUGAAUUUGGCUUUCGCAUGAUAUCAAGACCUCGGUCAAUGUUAGCUGCCAAAGGCUGAGGUCUGGAUAAUUCUUGAUAUCAUGCUCAUCCUCGUCCAAUAUGUAAUUGUUAAAUGUCUUUACAAUUGUAUCCCUUUUUGUUUCUGCAUCUUGCUCUCUCUAUUUUACAAAUAGAGCCUGACACAAACCUUGCUAUCCACUGAAGUAUAUAUUUUUAUAAAGUAUCCAAUCAACAUGCCCAGGGAGAAAUGUCAAUUUCAUAUAAAAACAACAAUCUAAUUAAAGUUACAACUGCUAAAUAUAUAAUAUUAGUAUCAUAAUUGUAUUAUAUAAUUAGGAAUAACCAAUAAAAAAGAUACAUUAAAUAUGGCCCGAUAUAGUUGUGCUAAAAAUAGCCAGUCAGAGCUUCAUCCAAAAUUUUGCACCUAUAUAAUAUGUCAGUUUGGAUAACUCCUGGGGUUUUUUUUAUUUCUGUAGAUAUACCUAAUGAAUCAACUCAAACCGGUGCCUUUGUUUUGGCAGCCAGUUGGGACCACAACAAUGGUAUCUUUUCCGGGUACAAGAGCUUCGAUAGCAUCAAAUUGUCCUGGUCUAAAUUUUUGAUGCCCAAAUACAUUUUUUUAAAUUUCUAGACUUGUCAUAUUAUUUGAAAAGCUCUGGUUUGCAGCACCGUCCAUUGAAAUUCUUUCUGGAGUUGUAGUCAAUGUUCCACUUUCAACAGUUUCUCAGCGACUUUGGUAGCAACAGUAAUGGCAUCAUUGGAACAAUUAAUAUCUUUGCCAAAUGACACUUUGUAUUCUGUGUAAAUUAGUUCAUGCUAGAUUGACACAUCAUCCAUGGAAUUAUUCUGUAGAAUAAUUAAGAUAUGUAUAUUACCAUAGUCACUACUAUAGGUUAACCUGACAAUUAUAAUGAUAAAUCUAAUUAAUUAUUAUUAGUAGUAGUAUUAUUGUUAUUUCUUGUUUUAAAAUUUCAAAGUAAAAGUUUUGAACCCAUGAUAAGUACAUCAAAUAAACAGACAGACAUAUAAAGUACAAGUGGCAGGGUUACCGCAACAGAAUUUAUACUCCCAAUUACUGGGGACCCUGUUUGAUAAGAUAAGCUACCAGAGUCCAGUGCAUGUAAACAUAUUCAUACAAACAUGACAAACCCUGGGUGGUAAUGGAUAUUAAUUAUGCUACCAAGAAGGCAACAACCUUGCAACAACUAGGUUCAUCCAAGAGUUGCAAAUUAUUAAAAGUACACACAAAUCUUGUUAGGAAUUGGAAUCUAUUCCAAAUCCAAUGCAUAUACACCGGGGAAUGGACAUAGCAAUG
This is a non-coding RNA of Paramuricea clavata, 2614 nucleotides long. The record is from the annotation of a GenBank genome assembly. Lineage: Eukaryota; Metazoa; Cnidaria; Anthozoa; Malacalcyonacea; Plexauridae.